GAUGAAGAACGUAGCGAAAUGCGAUAAGUAGUGUGAAUUGCAGAAUUCAGUGAAUCAUCGAAUCUUUGAACGCACAUUGCGCCCCUUGGUAUUCCAUGGGGCAUGCCUGUUCGAGCGUCAUUUGUACCUUCAAGCUUUGCUUGGUGUUGGGUGUUUGUCUCGCCUUUGCGUGUAGACUCGCCUUAAAAUAAUUGGCAGCCGGCGUAUUGAUUUCGGAGCGCAGUACAUCUCGCGCUUGCACUCAUAACGACAGCGUCCAAAAGUACAUUUUACACUCUUGACCUCGGAUCAGGUAGGGAUACCCGCUGAACUUAAGCAUAUCAAUAAGCGGAGGA
Molecule: unclassified non-coding RNA, 335 nt
Filed under: soil metagenome
Description: partial contains 5.8S ribosomal RNA, internal transcribed spacer 2, and large subunit ribosomal RNA
Rfam family: 5.8S ribosomal RNA (bases 1-120)
Source: RNAcentral